Molecule: long non-coding RNA, 898 nt
Organism: Dreissena polymorpha
Lineage: Eukaryota; Metazoa; Mollusca; Bivalvia; Myida; Dreissenidae
Exons: 5
Source: RefSeq, a predicted model, not a curated record
UAUCCAACCACACGUGAUGUUGACGAUGUACAUUGUGCAUGUCAAAUAAAUUGUCUGUCUGGCUGUCUUUAUCAUAUCUCUGACCCAACAUUGGGUUGAUAAACUUCUGAUUACGUUAUGGUACAAGCGCAUCGUUUUGUUGUAUCGUUUAGUUACUUAAAUGACUUGAGAUCUGAAGCAUAACGUCAAAUGGAAUAUUCAAUUACAGUACUGCAGUGACGGCUACAUGAAGGAGUUUACACUAUCUGUCAUGUUUAUCAUUAAAAACUGCCCGGAUGAAUAGCUGGCAGAUGUGAAAACAAGCGAUUUGUUUACAAAGAAAGUGAUCCGACGUGAUCCGACGUACGAUCCCCUCCAGAAAUCGAGAAAGAAUGAGGGCGAUCGUUUCGACGUGGAAAUAUUUAAUCAUAAUAAGCAAUGCAUUUAUUUUGGGUAUGGUUCAUCAAUCGACAACAUACAAGCUAAAAGAGAGCGCUUACUGUGAAUGGUAUUGUACGAAAGUACAACAACAAUGGGACGGCUCAUGCCAUGUAUAUGGGUCCUGUCGGUGGUAUUGUCAGGCGAAACGCAAAGACUGCACACCGGGUACACGAUAUCAUUGUGCCAGAGAUUUGCAAAACAAGGACUUAUUUAUUGAAACGUGCGCACCUGAAAUAUUUUGUUUGGCAGGAGAAGAACCUCAAAUAUCUUUACAACAGAGUGGCAAAGCCUCUGUGUAUUGCAAACCAUGUUACCGACGAAACAUGUUCAAUGGUCGCCAUAACACAUCAUCGGCGGUUUUUAGUGAAUGUUCUACUAUCAAAACAAACUUCAGGUCGUAACAGUAUAUAUAUUAUUUCCAAAAUAUUUUAGGCACUUCAUGCUUUUUUUUACUCCACAUAAAUCUAAACUCAUAAAC